GUAGAGUGUAUGCUGCAAGCAGGGAUCAGCUGUUUUGCGGAAUUUUACAUUAUCUGGAAACGUUCUGUUCAUGUCUGUUUUGAUUGCUUCAACCAGCUUGUCAUUUUUCUCUCCUUCGAGCAGUCUCUGGUAGUACCCAGGGUUUUGCUCCAUGUUGGUUUGAGCCCCACUCACAAUCAUCCAGAUCAAUGCACGAUGUUCGUUGGGAAUGCCUUUCC
Molecule: long non-coding RNA, 218 nt
Filed under: Gallus gallus (chicken)
Lineage: Eukaryota; Metazoa; Chordata; Aves; Galliformes; Phasianidae
Source: RNAcentral